CCUACGGGGGGCAGCAGUGGGGGAUAUUGCACAAUGGGGGAAACUCUGAUGCAGCGACGCCGCGUGUGGGAAGACGGCCCUCUGGAUUGUAAACCACUGUCCCCAGGGACGAAGAUGACGGUACCUGGGGAGGUAGCUCCGGCAAACUACGUGCCAGCAGCCGCGGUAAUACGUAGGGAGCGAGCGUUGUCCGGAAUUACUGGGUGUAAGGGGAGCGUAGGCGGGACUGCAAGUUGGGUGUCAAAUCUACCGGCUCAACCGGUAGCCGCACUCAAAACUGCAGUUCUUGAGUGAAGUAGAGGCGGGCGGAAUUCGUAGUGUAGCGGUGAAAUGCGUAGAUAUUAGGAAGAACACCAGUGGCGAAGGCGGCCUGCUGGGCUUUUACUGACGCUGAGGCUCGAAAGUGUGGGGAGCAAACAGGAUUAGAUACCCGAGUAGUC
RNAcentral lists this ribosomal RNA (440 nucleotides) under uncultured bacterium. RNAcentral's name for it is "partial 16S ribosomal RNA". It matches the Rfam family "Bacterial small subunit ribosomal RNA", at positions 338 to 795 of the family's 1533-position model. The record is from RNAcentral.